Molecule: ribosomal RNA, 434 nt
Filed under: uncultured Ruminococcus sp.
Lineage: Bacteria; Bacillati; Bacillota; Clostridia; Eubacteriales; Oscillospiraceae
Description: bacterial SSU rRNA
Rfam family: Bacterial small subunit ribosomal RNA
Source: RNAcentral
ACGGGAGGCAGCAGUGGGGAAUAUUGUACAAUGGGCGCAAGCCUGAUGUAGCGAUGCCGCGUGAGGGAAGAAGGUUUUCGGAUUGUAAACCUCUGUCAACAGGGACGAAAAUGACGGUACCUGUGAAGGAAGCUCCGGCUAACUACGUGCCAGCAGCCGCGGUAAUACGUAGGGAGCAAGCGUUAUCCGGAAUUACUGGGUGUAAAGGGAGUGUAGGCGGGACUGUAAGUCAGAUGUGAAAUAUGCCGGCUCAACUGGCAGACUGCAUUUGAAACUGCGGUUCUUGAGUGAAGUAGAGGUAAGCGGAACUCCUAGUGUAGCGGUGAAAUGCGUAGAUAUUAGGAGGAACAUCAGUGGCGAAGGCGGCUUACUGGGCUUUAACUGACGCUGAGGCUCGAAAGCGUGGGGAGCAAACAGGAUUAGAUACCCUGGUA